Non-coding RNA from Castor canadensis (American beaver), 336 nucleotides. NCBI's taxonomy places the organism in Eukaryota, Metazoa, Chordata, Mammalia, Rodentia, Castoridae. The record is from RefSeq and is a predicted model, not a curated record.
GCGGACGGACGCACAGACCUACAAACCCGCAAGCCUGGGAACCGGCUGUGGGAUCCCGCGCGCCGCCCCACCUAAGGGGUUAGCCACCUCGCCAUGAAGCCCCGCACCUGCUGAACUAGGAGCGCCCGAGGAUGUCUGUCCUGAGAAAGGCUUUCCCACCAUCUGAGGCCCGGCCCUAGGACUGUGGUUUCACACCAGCCAGCGAACCCUCAGCCUGCGCCCCGCCAGCCACAAUGGGAACGGCUCAGGUUCUGCCCGGCAUCCUGCAGAAGCACUGCUGCAUCCUACCAGACAGGAACACAGGUACGGCCACCUUCUUUCUGCACUUUGAGAUCA